AUGAAAUUUUGGCACAUGAUGUUGUUGACGAGGCAGGGGCUUGGAAAAGCAAGCUUGAACCAGCAUCUAGGGAGUUGUUUGACUUCUUGCCCAAAACCAUUCAGGAGCAGCUUUUGCUUGAAAGAGAUCCCCAUGGCAAUGUUCAGGUUGCGAAAAUUGAAACUGAGAAAAUUCUUAUUGCCAUGGUUGAAACUGAAUUGGAGAAGAGAAGAGCGGCGGGGAAGUAAUCUGCACAUUUCAGAGGCCAGUCUCUAG
This 255-nucleotide ribosomal RNA is filed under the name Triticum aestivum (bread wheat). RNAcentral's name for it is "partial small subunit ribosomal RNA". Lineage: Eukaryota; Viridiplantae; Streptophyta; Magnoliopsida; Poales; Poaceae. The record is from RNAcentral.